RNAcentral lists this ribosomal RNA (910 nucleotides) under uncultured bacterium. Its description in RNAcentral is "bacterial SSU rRNA". It matches the Rfam family "Bacterial small subunit ribosomal RNA", at positions 8 to 916 of the family's 1533-position model. The record is from RNAcentral.
AGAGUUUGAUCAUGGCUCAGGAUGAACGCUAGCGGCAGGCUUAAUACAUGCAAGUCGAGGGGCAGCGGGUGUAGCAAUACAUGCCGGCGACCGGCGCACGGGUGCGUAACGCGUAUGCAACCUACCUUUAACUGGAGGAUAGCCCCGAGAAAUCGGGAUUAAUACUCCAUAACAUUGCGAAUUGACAUCUUUUUGCAAUUAAAGCUCAGGCGGUUAAGGAUGGGCAUGCGUGACAUUAGCUAGUUGGUGAGGUAACGGCUCACCAAGGCUACGAUGUCUAGGGGUUCUGAGAGGAUUAUCCCCCACACUGGUACUGAGACACGGACCAGACUCCUACGGGAGGCAGCAGUAAGGAAUAUUGGGCAAUGGACGCAAGUCUGACCCAGCCAUGCCGCGUGAAGGAUGACGGCCCUAUGGGUUGUAAACUUCUUUUGUACGGGAAAAAACCCCCGAUCGUGAUCGGGGCUGAUGGUACCGUAAGAAUAAGCAUCGGCUAACUCCGUGCCAGCAGCCGCGGUAAUACGGAGGAUGCAAGCGUUAUCCGGAUUCAUUGGGUUUAAAGGGUGCGUAGGCGGGAUGAUAAGUCAGUGGUGAAAUCCUACAGCUUAACUGUAGAACUGCCAUUGAUACUGUCAGCCUUGAGUACAUUUGAAGUGGGCGGAAUGUGUCAUGUAGCGGUGAAAUGCUUAGAUAUGACACAGAACACCGAUAGCGAAGGCAGCUCACUAAACUGUAACUGACGCUGAGGCACGAAAGCGUGGGGAUCAAACAGGAUUAGAUACCCUGGUAGUCCACGCCGUAAACUAUGAUCACUCGAUGUGUGCGAUAUACUGUACGCGUCUAAGCGAAAGCAUUAAGUGAUCCACCUGGGGAGUACGUUCGCAAGGAUGAAACUCAAAUGAAUUGACGG